GCAAUCUACCUUUUACAGAGGGAUAGCCCAGAGAAAUUUGGAUUAAUACCUCAUAGUAUAUAGAAGUGGCAUCACUUUUAUAUUAAAGUCACAACGGUGAAAGAUGAGCAUGCGUCCCAUUAGCUAGUUGGUAAGGUAACGGCUUACCAAGGCAACGAUGGGUAGGGGUCCUGAGAGGGAGAUCC
This 185-nucleotide ribosomal RNA is filed under the name uncultured Bacteroidota bacterium. RNAcentral describes it as "uncultured Bacteroidetes bacterium partial 16S ribosomal RNA". It matches the Rfam family "Bacterial small subunit ribosomal RNA", at positions 121 to 306 of the family's 1533-position model. Lineage: Bacteria; Pseudomonadati; Bacteroidota. The record is from RNAcentral.